This 1212-nucleotide ribosomal RNA is filed under the name metagenome. Its description in RNAcentral is "bacterial SSU rRNA". It matches the Rfam family "Bacterial small subunit ribosomal RNA", at positions 208 to 1407 of the family's 1533-position model. The record is from RNAcentral.
UGCAAUUGCACCGUCUGGAGAUGAGCCUGCGGUCCAUUAGCUUGUUGGUGGGGUAAAGGCCUACCAAGGCAACGAUGGAUAGCCGGCCUGAGAGGGUGAACGGCCACACUGGGACUGAGACACGGCCCAGACUCCUACGGGAGGCAGCAGCUAAGAACCUUCCGCAAUGGGCGAAAGCCUGACGGAGCGACGCCGCGUGAAUGAAGAAGGCCUAACGGUUGUAAAAUUCUUUUCUUGGGGAAGAAUAAGGAAUGGAGUGGAAAGCCAUUCUGAUGACAUUAUUCAAGGAAUAAGCCCCGGCCAAUUACGUGCCAGCAGCCGCGGUAAUACGUAAGGGGCAAGCGUUGUUCGGAAUUAUUGGGCGUAAAGGGCGUGUAGGCGGUUUUAUAAGCCCGAUGUGAAAUACCACAGCUCAACUGUGGAAACGCGUCGGGAACUGUAAGACUAGAGUUCAGGAAGGGAAGCUGGAAUUCCUGGUGUAGGGGUGAAAUCUGUAGAUAUCAGGAAGAACACCGAUGGCGAAGGCAAGCUUCUAGACAUGGACUGACGCUGAGGCGCGAAAGCGUGGGGAGCGAACAGGAUUAGAUACCCUGGUAGUCCACGCUGUAAACGAUGUACACUUGGUGUAGGGACGAACGUCUCUGUGCCGGAGCUAACGCGUUAAGUGUACCGCCUGGGGAGUAUGCCCGCAAGGGUGAAACUCAAAGGAAUUGACGGGGGCCCGCACAAGCGGUGGAGCAUGUGGUUUAAUUCGAUACGCGAGAAACCUUACCAGGGCUUGACAUCUACCGGAAUGUACAAGAGAUUGUGCAGUCUUCUUUGAAGACUGGUAGACAGGUGCUGCAUGGCUGUUGUCAGCUCGUGUCGUGAGAUGUUGGGUUAAGUCCCGCAACGAGCGCAACCCUUACUGUCUGUUACCAGCAUACUUUAUUGUGAUGGGGACUCAGGCAGAACUGCCGGUGACAAACCGGAGGAAGGUGGGGACGACGUCAAGUCAUCAUGGCCCUUAUGUCCUGGGCUACACACGUGCUACAAUGGUCGUUACAGAGCGGAGCGAGACGGCGACGUCAAGCAAAUCGCAAAAAGACGACCUAAGUUCGGAUUGGAGUCUGAAACUCGACUCCAUGAAGCUGGAAUCGCUAGUAAUCGCGCAUCAGCAUGGCGCGGUGAAUAAGUUCCCGGGCCUUGUACACACCGCCCGUCACACCACCC